GGUAAUUUGGUGCUUACCAAAAGUUCAGUUCUUUAUACCAACUGUAGGGAAAGAGGAGGCACAGUAAACCCACCCCACAUAUGCCUCAGUCCAGGCCUUUUGCUCGGUCUGUAUUGUGAAUGCAGGGACCAAAG
Molecule: small nucleolar RNA, 134 nt
Organism: Sorex araneus (European shrew)
Lineage: Eukaryota; Metazoa; Chordata; Mammalia; Eulipotyphla; Soricidae
Source: Ensembl